RNAcentral lists this unclassified non-coding RNA (887 nucleotides) under Bombus terrestris (buff-tailed bumblebee). RNAcentral's name for it is "misc RNA ENSBTSG00005034764.1". Lineage: Eukaryota; Metazoa; Arthropoda; Insecta; Hymenoptera; Apidae. The record is from RNAcentral.
CAAUUAUUGCCGCGUUUCGUGACGUGUGAUUCUUCAGUGAUUUGAUAUUUGAAUAGAGACGUCAAUAAGGUUCAAAUGCGAAAAGCAAAGAAAUGAAAAGAUACACGUUAAAACACGAUGGCUGGGAUCCCUGCACGUUGGGCGGAGUUUCUCGCUACAUUUUAUGCUUCGACUGAUUCGCCUCGCUAAUUUCAGCUGCAUGUAUAUAAACGUUAGAUUUGUUACGAUCACGAGCAGAAAGUGUUUGCUUCUCAAAGCGUCUUCGAAGCGAGCGGUGUAAAGCGACGAGUUUUCUCAGAAUGAGAGCAAAGCUUUUGUAUGCCAUUGCUUUACUGGUUUUGUUGGUGUUGCUGCAACAACCAGCUGAGUCGAAAAAGGUGAUCAUCCAUAUCCCCUAUCGAAUAAAGAACAUAAAGCACACGCAUACGAUCUACAAAGUCGUGCCGCAUUAUCACGAAGAUACGAAGGAGGAUAUAGAAGAAGACGAUAAACAUUAUUAGAAAUAAGCGGAUAAUAUAAUAUAUAAUAUAAUACAAAUAGAUGUAAAUUACAACCCAACGAUUAGUUAAUAGAGCCUACGAGUCAUGUUCAAACAGUAUUCUAUGUAUAACGAGUUUAUUUAAAUAACAAAUGACUAGGUCUUUAACGAAGUUAAGCUGGGAACAAAUUUUGUAAAUUCCAACGUUAAAAGCUCGCAAAUUUCUUUGUACACAAUAAGAGAAAAUAUACAAAGAAUUAGAAACUAAAUAUUCGAAGAAGAUAAGGUCACUUUUUAUGUCGACAAAGGAAAAAUGUCGAAGAAUUCAUAAUAGGAUAAAGAAUUUAUGAAGAAUCAAUAAAGAAGUUUAUUUCCAAAAACAUAUUUCUUUGCUAUUUCUUUCAUUAAU